CUGUAUGCCAUACCAGUAUCUCCACACUUCUUAGUUAAGAAGACAACCAACCCAUAUGACACACAACAACCUAUACUCGAUAAAUGUUAUUGUCUUUGUUAAUAACAUAUCAUUUGAUCCCAAACCAAUUUAAGAACUAUUCGAUAAAUCUUCUUUUAUCGAUUAUAUUAUAGUUCUAAGAACUUCAUUAUAACACAAG
This 199-nucleotide long non-coding RNA is filed under the name Elaeis guineensis (African oil palm). RNAcentral's name for it is "long non-coding RNA (EGUI_LNC067481)". Lineage: Eukaryota; Viridiplantae; Streptophyta; Magnoliopsida; Arecales; Arecaceae. The record is from RNAcentral.